CGGGUGAGUAAUGUAUGGGGAUCUGCCUGAUGGGGGGGGAUAACUACUGGAAACGGUAGCUAAUACCGCAUAAUGUCUGCGGACCAAAGCGGGGGACCUCCGGGCCUCGCGCCAUCAGAUGAACCCAUAUGGGAUUAGCUAGUAGGUAAGGUAACGGCUUACCUAGGCGACGAUCCCUAGCUGGUCUGAGAGGAUGAUCAGCCACACUGGGACUGAGACACGGCCCAG
Molecule: ribosomal RNA, 228 nt
Filed under: uncultured bacterium
Lineage: Bacteria
Description: partial 16S ribosomal RNA
Rfam family: Bacterial small subunit ribosomal RNA
Source: RNAcentral